UACGUAGGGUCCAAGCGUUAAUCGGAAUUACUGGGCGUAAAGCGUGCGCAGGCGGUUGUGUAAGACAGAUGUGAAAUCCCCGGGCUUAACCUGGGAAUGGCAUUUGGGACUGCACGGCUAGAGUACGGCAGAGGGGACUAGAAUUCCUGGUGUAGCAGUGAAAUGCGUAGAUAUCUGGAGGAAUACCGAUGGCGAAGGCAGGUCCCUGGGUCGAUACUGACGCUCAUGCACGAAAGCGUGGGGAGCAAACAGG
This 253-nucleotide ribosomal RNA is filed under the name uncultured bacterium. RNAcentral's name for it is "partial 16S ribosomal RNA". It matches the Rfam family "Bacterial small subunit ribosomal RNA", at positions 524 to 776 of the family's 1533-position model. The record is from RNAcentral.